AACGAACGCUGGCGGCGUGCCUAACACAUGCAAGUCGAGGGAGAAAGCCGCAAGGUGAGUAAACCGGCGAACGGGUGCGUAACACGUGGACAACCUACCCUGGUGACCGGGACAACUGGCCGAAAGGCUUGCUAAUACCGGAUAAGCCCACGACUCCUCCGGGAGAUGAGGGAAAAGGCGGCCUCUGUAAACAAGCUGUCACAUCAGGAUGGGUCCGCGGCCCAUCAGCUAGUUGGCGGGGUAAC
Molecule: ribosomal RNA, 245 nt
Filed under: uncultured bacterium
Lineage: Bacteria
Description: partial 16S ribosomal RNA
Rfam family: Bacterial small subunit ribosomal RNA
Source: RNAcentral